This 426-nucleotide RNase P RNA is filed under the name Deinococcus sp. RL. RNAcentral describes it as "Bacterial RNase P class A". It matches the Rfam family "Bacterial RNase P class A". From Rfam's summary of the family: Ribonuclease P (RNase P) is a ubiquitous endoribonuclease, found in archaea, bacteria and eukarya as well as chloroplasts and mitochondria. Its best characterised activity is the generation of mature 5'-ends of tRNAs by cleaving the 5'-leader elements of precursor-tRNAs. The record is from Rfam by way of RNAcentral. Lineage: Bacteria; Thermotogati; Deinococcota; Deinococci; Deinococcales; Deinococcaceae.
GCGGGGAGGUUCAUGGCCGCGCUCCUGCUUUGCAGGGGUGAGGAAAGUCCGGGCACCGCAGGGCAGGAUGCCAGCUAACGGCUGGUCGGCGAGCCAAGCGUCCCUCUAGAGCGCCGAACCGGGGGGAAGGCGGCGAAGCCGAAGGACAGUGCCACAGAAACCAGACCGCCAGUUUCCGCAGAGCCCCGGCGCGGGUGGAGCUGGUCAGGGUGAAACGGUGCGGUAAGAGCGCACCAGGCCGCCGGGAGACCGGGGGCGCUGGUAAACCCCAUCCGGUGCAAGACCCGACCGUGCGCGAGGAGCGGCCCGCUCCGAAGACCGCCAGGAUGGUCGCUAGAGGUGCGCGGCGACGCGCAUCCCAGAGAGAUGGCCAUGCCCCCCCUUGACCGGGGGAGACAGAACCCGGCUUAUCGCCUCCCCGCUCCC